CCUACGGGGGGCAGCAGUGGGGAAUAUUGCGCAAUGGGCGAAAGCCUGACGCAGCGACGCCGCGUGAGGGAUGAAGGUCUUCGGAUCGUAAACCUCUGUCAGCAGGGAAGAACGGUCACUGUGCUAAUCAGCAGUGAAUUGACGGUACCUGCAAAGGAAGCACCGGCUAACUCCGUGCCAGCAGCCGCGGUAAUACGGAGGGUGCGAGCGUUAAUCGGAAUUACUGGGCGUAAAGCGCUCGUAGGCGGUAUGUCAAGUCAAGGGUGAAAUCCCCGGGCUCAACGUGGGAACUGCCUUUGAAACUGGCAGACUGGAGUGUGUGAGAGGAGAGUGGAAUUCGAGGUGUAGGAGUGAAAUCCGUAGAUAUCUGGAGGAACAUCAGUGGCGAAGGCGACUAUCUGGCACAUAACUGACGCUGAGGAGCGAAAGCGUGGGUAGCAAACAGGAUUAGAUACCCCUGUAGUC
This 465-nucleotide ribosomal RNA is filed under the name uncultured bacterium. RNAcentral's name for it is "partial 16S ribosomal RNA". It matches the Rfam family "Bacterial small subunit ribosomal RNA", at positions 338 to 795 of the family's 1533-position model. The record is from RNAcentral.